CCCUUAGAUGUUCUGGGCUGCACGCGCGCUACACUGAUGCGCUCAACGAGUUUUAACCUUGCCUGGAAAGGUUGGGUAAUCUUUUUAAAACGCAUCGUGAUGGGGAUAGAUUAUUGAAAUUAUUAAUCUUGAACGAGGAAUUCCUAGUAAACGCAGAUCAUCAAUCUGCAUUGAUUACGUCCCUGCCCUUUGUACACACCGCCCGUCGCACCUACCGAUUGGAUGGUCCGGUGAAGCCUCGGGAUUGUGGUUCUUGCCGCUUUAUUGUGGCGUGACCGCGAGAACUUGUCUAAACCUUAUCAUCUAGAGGAAGGUGAAGUCGUAACA
RNAcentral lists this ribosomal RNA (327 nucleotides) under uncultured eukaryote. Its description in RNAcentral is "partial 18S ribosomal RNA". It matches the Rfam family "Eukaryotic small subunit ribosomal RNA", at positions 1470 to 1796 of the family's 1831-position model. The record is from RNAcentral.